This 435-nucleotide unclassified non-coding RNA is filed under the name fungal sp. Its description in RNAcentral is "partial internal transcribed spacer region". The stretch from base 1 to 46 matches the Rfam family "Eukaryotic small subunit ribosomal RNA", at positions 1786 to 1831 of the family's 1831-position model. The record is from RNAcentral. Lineage: Eukaryota; Fungi.
AAGUCGUAACAAGGUCUCCGUAGGUGAACCUGCGGAGGGAUCAUUAACACGUGCCAAAACACGUUUCUAACCAAUCAUCUGUGAACAUAAACCCAACUCCCUUUACAUAUGGACGACCGAAUAACCAUCAGGGUGGAGUGCGUGGAUAGGGAACAAUCGACCUUCGGGAAGACUCGCUAUCUCGCAACUAUGGCUCGGUCUAGGGCUCCAGUGAGAGUCCAAUCCAUGGCAGUGUGCCUUUCAUGGUCUGCUUCGGCAGACUGUUGACUGGCAAGCGUUCUGCCGAAUAUUUUAACCCAAUUUUUAACCCCUUUAACAACAUACUAAUAACUGAACCAUGUUUCAUGUAGACGCCCUGGCUUCGGCCAUGCAACGGCUCAUGAAUACGAUAUACGUAAUGCUGAACAACUCUUAGCAAUGGAUAUCUUGGUUCUC